GCACCCGCGGUAAUUCCAGCACCAAUAGCGUAUAUUAAUGCUGCUGCUGUUAAAAAGCUCGUAGUUGGAUACAGAGCUCAGGUUGUGUUGUGGCCAUCGACUGCGCGAAGCAGCGUACUGCUGUGGAGUGUCGUCUUUGGAUUGAACCCAGCACGUCAAGACCUGUGCUCUAGGAAUGGUGGUAAUGGUGCCCUGUGAGUAGGUUCCUUCAUUGGGACUGAAAACGAUUACGUGUAGACCAUACGCAUACGGGUCGACCACCGAUGUUACUGUGAACAAAUCAGUGUGUCCAAAGCAGGCGUUGCCUUGAAUGAUAAAGCAUGGAAUAACAAGGGAUCGAUUCUCUCGGAUCUUUUUGUUGGUUUUUAACCCGAGAAGGAGUAAUUCAAGUGGUGGUUCGCUAGCCCUUGGGCGACGCGGAACAUUACAAAGCGGGAUCAAUAGGGACUGCCGGGGUCGUACGUACUCCCACGUCAGAGGUGAAAUUCUUAGAUCGUGGGAAGACGAACUUCUGCGAAAGCAUUCGACAAGAAUGUCUUCAUUAAUCAAGAACGAGAGUGUGGGGAUCGAAGAUGAUCAGAUACCGUCGUAGUCCACUACUGUAAACGAUGCCGUCUCAGGAUCGAGAGGUGCCCAUUAUGGCCCUCACGGCACUAACCCCUGAAACGAGAAAUCAAAGAUUAUGGGUUCAGGGGGGAGUACAUUCGCAAGGCUGAAACUUAAAGGAAUUGACGGAAUGACACCACCAGGCGUGGAGUAUGCGGCUUAAUUUGACUCAACACGGGGAAUUUUACUAGGUCAGGACAAUGCCAGGAUUGACAGAUUGAGAGCUCUUUCUCGAUCCAUUGUGUGGUGGUGCAUGGCCGCUCCUGGUUGGUGGAGUGAUUUGUCUGGUUGAUUCCGUUAACGAACGAGAUCUCGACCCUUAAAUAGGUAUGCUGGUCGUUUCGGCCUACGAGGCACUUGUGUCUCAUGGCUUAGACAUGGUAACACUUCUUAAGGGGACUGCGUGCGCUGCUAGUACGCGGAAGAGCGAGCCAAUAGCAGGUCUGUGAUGCUCCUAAAUGUCCUAGGCUGCACGCGCACUACACUGACGCAUUAAACGAGUCUGUUUGCCUUACGGCAACCUAUCUUGAAGAGGAUGGGAAAUCUUUUGAACUUGCGUCGUGAUGAG
RNAcentral lists this ribosomal RNA (1174 nucleotides) under uncultured marine diplonemid. RNAcentral's name for it is "bacterial SSU rRNA". It matches the Rfam family "Eukaryotic small subunit ribosomal RNA", at positions 570 to 1574 of the family's 1831-position model. Lineage: Eukaryota; Euglenozoa; Diplonemea. The record is from RNAcentral.